RNAcentral lists this ribosomal RNA (393 nucleotides) under Escherichia coli. RNAcentral's name for it is "partial 23S ribosomal RNA". It matches the Rfam family "Bacterial large subunit ribosomal RNA", at positions 1 to 424 of the family's 2925-position model. Lineage: Bacteria; Pseudomonadati; Pseudomonadota; Gammaproteobacteria; Enterobacterales; Enterobacteriaceae. The record is from RNAcentral.
GGGUUGUGAGGUUAAGCGACUAAGCGUACACGGUGGAUGCCCUGGCAGUCAGAGGCGAUGAAGGACGUGCUAAUCUGCGAUAAGCGUCGGUGAGGUGAUAUGAACCGUUAUAACCGGCGAUUUCCGAAUGGGGAAACCCAGUGUGUUUCGACACACUAUCAUUAACUGAAUCCAUAGGUUAAUGAGGCGAACCGGGGGAACUGAAACAUCUAAGUACCCCGAGGAAAAGAAAUCAACCGAGAUUCCCCCAGUAGCGGCGAGCGAACGGGGAGGAGCCCAGAGCCUGAAUCAGUGUGUGUGUUAGUGGAAGCGUCUGGAAAGGCGCGCGAUACAGGGUGACAGCCCCGUACACAAAAAUGCACAUAUUGUGAGCUCGAUGAGUAGGGCGGGACA